This is a long non-coding RNA of Olea europaea var. sylvestris, 461 nucleotides long. RefSeq lists it as uncharacterized. The transcript is spliced from 2 exons. The record is from RefSeq and is a predicted model, not a curated record. Lineage: Eukaryota; Viridiplantae; Streptophyta; Magnoliopsida; Lamiales; Oleaceae.
ACAUUCACGUAAACAAACUCUCGUUACCUUCUCUUGUAAUUUCCAGAUAAAACAAAAAUGUCUUGCUGCGGAGGGAACUGUGGGGGAUGUGGAUCUUGCUGCGGAGGGAACUGUGGAUCUUGCUGCGGAGGGAACUGCGGGGGGAAUUGUGGAUCUUGCUGCAAGUGCGGCCACGGAUGCGGAGGUUGCAAGACGUACUUCAAUAUGAGCUGUCCGGCGGCAACUGAGAAUUGUUGCAAGUGCGUUUAUAAUUGCACUUGUAAUCCUUCCACAUGAAGCGUUGGCGCAAAGUCAGGAUCUGAAGCAGAGAUGAAGAAGCUAAGUUAGUAUUAGUUUUGUGUGUUUAAAUAAAUCAUCAUCACUAGUAGGUGGUGAUUGUGUAAUAUUCGUAUAAAGUAAUUAAUAGUGUUUGUAAUCUCACCUCUGCUUAAUUAUAUUAAUGAAAAACUCCUUUCUUCUAA